Molecule: unclassified non-coding RNA, 399 nt
Filed under: plant metagenome
Description: partial contains small subunit ribosomal RNA, internal transcribed spacer 1, and 5.8S ribosomal RNA
Source: RNAcentral
UUUCCGUAGGUGAACCUGCGGAAGGAUCAUUAAUGGGAAAUCAAAUCAAAACAAAUGUUCUGUUGCACUGGGUGUGCUGUGUGGUGGUGGUGUGAGACACGGAGAUUCAAUCAUUGGAAUUCAAUCAUUGGAAUUCAAUCAUUGGAGAUUCAAUCAUUGGAGAUUCAAUCAUUGGAGAUUCAAUCAUUGGAGAUUCAAUCAUUGGAGAUUCAAUCAUUGGAGAUUCAAUCAUUGGAGAUUCAAUCAUUGGAGAUUCAAUCAUUGGAGAUUCAAUCAUUUAAUCUCAAUCAUUCAAUCUAAAUCAUCGCCACACAACACAACUAUCUAUCACACUCGAUCAACAACAACACACUCACACACAACAGCAAACAACUUUUAACAAUGGAUCUCUUGGCUCUU